GCAAAUCCUAGGUACAGUACACGAUCAGAAAGAAUAAGCAAGGGAACAUCUACACCAUAUUACAGCUGAAAUUUUAAGUUUCCAUGCAACCCUACAAGCUACAACUACAAUUCAGUACAAGAAUGAAAGAAGGGUGUCAAAAAUCAAAAAUACCUGGAGCAAACAGUCUAGGCGAACCAUUCCAUUCCAGCCACGCAUCAUUUCCCCAGUGACAGGAUC
RNAcentral lists this long non-coding RNA (219 nucleotides) under Setaria italica (foxtail millet). RNAcentral's name for it is "long non-coding RNA (SITA_LNC006530)". Lineage: Eukaryota; Viridiplantae; Streptophyta; Magnoliopsida; Poales; Poaceae. The record is from RNAcentral.